AUGGCAUCUGGAGAUAAUUCUCUCAUCAACAUGUCCUAUUGGGAGUGUGGUAAAAGGAGGAUGCGAUUCUUGUAUAUUACAAACAACAACUCGUUUAAUGUUGCUAAACCAAGCACAAACGAGGAUCAGAUGAUCCCUCUCUUUCUUGGAGCUGAUCUGUUCGCAGACACAGAUGUUCACAGUAAAAAUCAGCCCAGAUACCAUGCGAAAUAUGCUAAACGAGGAUUGGCAACCAAACUGGUUUUCCCAUCAGACUACAGAUUCCAAGGACUGCGACUCCCCUAUUCCAACAACAGUCUGUGGUUCUAUAGUGUUCAUGGAGUUUUUCGAGUGGCAUUUGAACUGUAUAGCAAACAAGAUCAGCUCUCAGUUAUGGAGUCAUUUCAGGAUGUAUGGAAAUCUCGAAUAAAUGACAACAACUUGAACAUGACCUAUCAUCUUGGUGCCCAGGAUGUUCAACCCCAAAAUGAUCAAGAUGCGCAAACAAUUUUGGAAAAUAAUACAUGUUCAUCAUACCAAGUCAAUCGACAGUUUGGCGAAGUAGAAACAAACUUCUUUCCAAUAGUCACAGAUCAGUCAGAUAUUUCAGCAGCUUCAGACCAUGACUACUGUUCCUCAGAGCAAACAAACUUAAGCCAGUCUACUUUACUUGCACAGAAACUUCGAAGCCUAGGGGAAAAAGUGAAGUUAUUUACAAGUAUUGAAGCAGAACAUUUGAAGACUGCCACAAAGGUCCUGGACUAUGUUGAAUACUGUAUUACUGGGAUGAUUGACGAGGAAAAACUGAUGGACACUGUGAUGGCCCUGUUUCAAACUCAUUUUCAGAGCUACUCCAUCUACUCAAGCAGUCUGCUGAAGGCUGUGGCAGGUUGGCUUGGCCAGCAGUUCAAUGCAGCCAACAGCACCAUUAGCCACCGGGUUGAAGGUUUUAAGGCCCAACACAUUGAGCACAUUACAAACUUGCCGCCUCCAGAGGAGCUGGCAACUGAACUUUUCCCAGAGGCAAUGCGAAAUCUUCUUACACACUGGAUGGGUCUGAGUGAUGAGGCAGAAAACUGGAAAAGACACAGCGAAUACCCCAUUUUAUUACUUAUUCUAGAAUUUGCUAAUCACAAUCUUAUCACAGGAGUAGCUCAUGUCUUGUAUUCCAGUCUAAUAUGCAAAUAA
Cyprinus carpio (common carp) is the source of this 1167-nucleotide long non-coding RNA. The record is from Ensembl. Lineage: Eukaryota; Metazoa; Chordata; Actinopteri; Cypriniformes; Cyprinidae.